GUUGAUCGCUGACAGAAUGCUUAACACAUGCACGUCAACUUGUAGCGGACCGGUGAGUAACGCGUAAAGCACUUGCCUCACAGGUAGGGACAACAUUUGGAAACGUUUGCUAAUACCUAAUACUGUGUGAGAGCUUUGCGUCCCAUUAGCUAGUUGGAGAGGUAACUGAUCACCAAGGCGAUGAUGGGUAGCCGGCCUGAGAGGGUGAUCGGCCACAAGGGGACUGAGAAACGGCCCUUACUCCUACGGGAGGGAGUAGUGGUGAAUAAUGAACAAUGGACCAAAGUCUGAUCCAGCAAUUCGGUGUGCACGAUGAAGUUUUCGGAAUGUAAAGUGCUUUUAGUUGGGAAGCGGUACCAACAUAAGAAGUGACGGCUAAAUACGUGCCAGCCGCCGCGGUAAUUC
Molecule: ribosomal RNA, 405 nt
Filed under: uncultured bacterium
Lineage: Bacteria
Description: partial 16S ribosomal RNA
Rfam family: Bacterial small subunit ribosomal RNA
Source: RNAcentral